GAUGAGAGAGAGGAAGGACCACAUCUCAUGGCAUAUAUUCCCCCAACAUAACCCCACUUAUGUUUCCUGAUAUGGAGUGAGAUCAUAGAACAACACAACCAACUCCAACUUAUAAAGAGAACUAUAGCUGGCACAUAUUGAUGCAUACAUAGGUAAAAGGAUCAAAAGGCACAUCUAUGUUUCAAUCCUUUGCCAGCAAGUAAGUAGUAUCAUAUCUGAUAACAUUAGUCAAAUGAUUACACACAAAAAUAGGAAUUUAUCAUUGAUGGAGAAGCUUUUUGGAGAGUCAUAGAGGCUAACCUUUCAUCAAAUCAGGUACUACCUUGUGACAAAUACGUUGGAAGUACUAAAUUGUCUCACCUACUGAGGAGUUCAUUCUACACUGUUGUGUUUGGUUUGCCAUUACUCUAACCCCAAUCGUACUUGUUGUUAUUUGCUGCCAUUUUUGAGCUAACGAAAGACAUGGAUCGAAGUUGGAUGAGAGCAUCACGCAUUAGUGAUGAGUAUGUGAAUGGGGUGGAACGGGAUCAUUCCAACUUACACAAAGUGGACAUGGCAUGGUGAAUUGCCAGACAAUCCAUCAGUCUCUCACACUAAGUCAGUCAAGGCAGACAGGGGUUGUCGUAUAGAAGACAUGAUUCGCGACCUAGGCCAGGAUGGUUUUCAAGAAGCGCAUGCACCUUUGUAUGAGAAAAUGGAGAAUGAUUCAAAGAUUCCUUUGUAUUCUGGGUGCACAACUUUCACAAGGUUGUCUACAGUGUUAGCUUUGGUCAACUUGAAGGCACGAUUUGACUAGAGUGAUAAGAGCUUUACUGAAUUGCUUCUGCUAUUGAAGAAAUUGCUUCCUGAAGAUAACAUGUUGCCCAAAAAUCAAUACGAGGCCAAGAAGAUCUUAUAUCCAGUGGGAAUGGAGUACCAGAAAAUCCAUGCAUGUCCAAAUGAUUGCAUAUUGUAUAGAAAUGAGUUUGCAGAAACAAGUGAUGUUGUAACCGCAGAGAACAAUCGUCCAACAAAGGUUUGUUGGUAUCUUCCAAUAAUACCACAUUUUAGGCGACAUGAUGCAAAACAAUGGAUGUGGCAUGCUGAAGGUUGAAAAACUGAUGGAUUGCUAUGACAUCCCGCUAAUAGUCCGCAAUGGAAGACAUUCAAUUCUUUGUAUCCUGAUGAAUCGCCUUCUUCUUGUUCGUCACCCUCUACUAGCUUUAUCCAAGCUACCACCAUUAUCACCCUUUUCCCAAACCUAUUAUUAUUCAUACACACCCACACGAAUAAAUUCUCAAAUAUAUAAGAUUAAGGACCCUCCUCGCACAAGCGCUACAUUUUGCAGUACCAACAAAGAGUUGUCAUCUAAGAAGUGUGUACCUUGCAAUACAAAGGACUUGCAACUCAUGACUGAGGAUGCAGCACGCACUCUGCUUCCCCAGGUUUAUGUUAUCUUUAAAAAUAAUCAAGUCAGAUGUUUUAAUUCCCGGAUAGCAGCGAGUCCAAAAACACUAUAGCCGGAUAGCAGAAUAGUAGCUAUUUUUUAUUUAUUUUUCUGCAUUUUAAAUAAUGUAUACUAUAUAUAUGUACAAAUUGUCAAAUGAUAAAAAUUACUCAAAAUUAAUGACAUUUAUAUGGUCAGAAGGCUCUUUUUGAAGCAAUACAUAGCUCUGCUCACGGCCCUAAUUAUUCAGCCCGCUAUAUGGUUUGCUAUGACCGCAUCAGGAAAAUAAUACCAGCCCGUUGAGACUAACUCCGUCAUAUGUAGAUACUGUCUUUUCUUCCUGGUUUUGAUUAUCCUGGAAUAUGAGGCUAUAUUGCUAUUAUUCUUGGUUAAGAACAUUAUAUAAAAUGUGUUGUUAGGGCUUUGAUUGGCACAAGAAAGAAGCUGCCUUCCACCUUCAAGUUCAGAAACUUACAGAGAGAAACACUUAUUUGGAGCAGCUGCUGCUAGAUAUGCAGAACAGGGAAUCUGCAUCGAUAAAUAGCAAUUUUUAAUUGCAGGAGGACUAUCAACAACGAGUUAAUCAAACGCAGAUUGGUGAGGUCUCGAUGGGUGUGACGCAAGAGAAAGGACGAGUUGCCCACAUUGCAGAUUUACUUGCAAACUUCUGUCUUAGUGUGUCGUGGCAGACUCAGAGUCUUAAACUCCUUCAUCGACUUUUACCAAAGGAUUGGAAUUUUUAAGGAUAGUAGCUGAUCUUCCUGAUGCGGAAGGUCAUCAUCCUGAUCUUCACCUUGUUGGCUGGAAUAAUGUUACUAUAGAGAUUUGUACACAUUCUGUAGCUCUACAUUCGUGACAUUCAUUUUAUGUUGACAAUAUUGUAACUGGAAGUUCCAGUUUAGAAAUCUGUCAACUUAUCUUGCAGCUUCAUUCCAAAUUUGCAUUAUAAUACCUUGGACCUCUACACUACUUGGGUAUUGAGGUCAUUCCUACAUCUAUGGAUGGUCUCCUACUAUUGUAGACCAAAUACGUUCAAAAUCAAUUGAAGCUGACGGUGUUCAGAGGACUCCGUAUGAGUUGAAGCAUCCCUUUCUCAAGCACUGUGUUAUGGAACCUCAGUACGUUCAAAAUCAAUUCAUCAGCAUAAACAAAUUAGAUUGGUAAUUAGUUUAAGUAGCCAAAUAAUCUGAAUGAUCACAUUCAGAGGACUGUUAUUGUAUCAAUCCACCAGCCUAGUAGUGAAGUUUUUCUACUCUUCAAUAACCUUUGUAUUUUGUCUUCGGGUAAAACAGUAAUUUUAGGUUGUCAAAUUACAAUAAUAUGGACUAAAGUGACUGAUAUUGUUCAGUAAUUUUAGGUACUUACUCUUAUAAUUAUUUUGGUGGUUUUGGAUUUGGUAUAUAUUUAACCUUAGCCGAUUCAUAUAUUUAGAAAUUUUGUUAAUGAAACUUGGAUGAUGUACAUGUCCAUCAUUCCACAGGAGAGUUUAGAGAGAA
Long non-coding RNA from Glycine soja, 2922 nucleotides. RefSeq lists it as uncharacterized. Lineage: Eukaryota; Viridiplantae; Streptophyta; Magnoliopsida; Fabales; Fabaceae. The record is from RefSeq and is a predicted model, not a curated record. The transcript has 9 exons.